CCUACGGGUGGCUGCAGUGAGGAAUAUUGGUCAAUGGGCUUACGCCUGAACCAGCCAAGUCGCGUGAGGGAAGACUGCCCUAUGGGUUGUAAACCUCUUUUGUCAGGGAGCAACGCCGGCUACGUGUAGACGGACUGAGAGUACCUGAAGAAAAAGCAUCGGCAAACUCCGUGCCAGCAGCCGCGGCAAUACGGAGGAUGCGGGCGUUAGCCGGUUUUAUUGGGGUUAAUGGAUGCGUAGGCGGAAUGCCAAGUCAGCGGUAAAGUCGCGGGGCUCAACCUCGCUCCGCCGUUGAAACUGGCGUUCUGGAGUGGGCGAGAAGUAUGCGGAAUGCGUGGUGUAGCGGUGAAAUGCAUAGAUAUCACGCAGAACUCCGAUUGCGAAGGCAGCAUACCGGCGCCCAACUGACGCUGAGGCACGAAAGCGUGGGUAUCGAACAGGAUUAGAUACCCCAGUAGUC
Molecule: ribosomal RNA, 460 nt
Filed under: uncultured bacterium
Lineage: Bacteria
Description: partial 16S ribosomal RNA
Rfam family: Bacterial small subunit ribosomal RNA
Source: RNAcentral